This 915-nucleotide ribosomal RNA is filed under the name Triticum aestivum (bread wheat). RNAcentral's name for it is "partial small subunit ribosomal RNA". The record is from RNAcentral. Lineage: Eukaryota; Viridiplantae; Streptophyta; Magnoliopsida; Poales; Poaceae.
CAGCGUCUAGGCUUCGUAGGAUCGGCAUGUAGCGUCCUUCGGAGAAGGUCCAAGGUUGGGCUGGGCGUGUUUGCUUUAUCCUUUAGGCCUAUCUCGCGGCGGCGGCGGCGGCGGUGCUCUAAGCGGCGGCGGCCUUCGGCUCCUGCGCUCCCUCUGGUACUGCUGGUAGGCGGCCAAGACGACGCUGCUAGACGAGGCGAAGCGGAGGCAGUUGGAGCUGGUGGAGUGGCUCUGGAAGUUGUACAGGAAGAUGUACUGCAUGGACCGAGCGACCGGGCUGAUGAAGGUGUGGCGGCAGUUGGGGCCGCUGGCGCAGUACCCUAUGUAAUACCCUUUCCAACUUCCUGUUCCACUUAGAACCGUACCUGUACAAUGCCGUCACAGACAACGGAGUCUUAAGGCGUCUGUCUUCAAUCGGUUCUGCGAAUACGUGAACGACCUCCUUUAGUCACUAUUCUACCUAUUCCGGAUAAAACACCUGGAGAAACAUUCCCGUAGGUUGUACGGCCGCUAUUCCUACAUACUUUUCGACCCGAUACAACAAAUAGCUUCCCACGAAGCCAUGAUGAGUCCCCUUCUUCUACCGGAACUAUACUCCUUCCGUAAUAGUGUUCUACAACUAUUCUUCAGGUAGUAUGGUGAGUUCUCUGGUUAAUGUGGACUGCUUGAACUUAUGCUGACUACGAUUAAAGAUUGAUAGCGAGAACGCAUCAACACAAGGGUAACUAGACGUGCUGAAGAUACCGUCGAGUUGUUCAAUAACAGAGAUCACAACAACUUACUCACUAGGACUUAAAAGAUAAACGUGUAAGGACAAUUCUAAACUGCGCCAAAAGUACCACCCGUGACUACUCGGUUGACCACGUACGACUUCACCUUGCUGUUACUAAAGAUCGAACGAUAAAAAUAGACCCG